AUAAAAGAAUAAACACCAUACCGUGCUCUUGGCUGGUGAGCGGCUGCAGGGUGCUCAGAACACUGAGACCGAGGAUCUUUCAUGGGAGCUCGGUGAAAAGCUUGCUUUGGUACCAGACAGAAUAACAGGUCCAAGUUCUCAAAGAUUUCCAAAUAGUUGUGCUAAAAAUAACCUUCCCGCUUAGUCCCAAAGAGCCAAAGGCCCUGGAAGUCAUUCAUCCAGCCAGGCUCAACUGAAGGACCAGUUAAAAUUAUGGUUUUAUUUGGGACAAACCCUGAGUUCCUGCUCCCCAUGACUGUACAGGGCCUCAGGGAGCCACGUGCCAUCCCAGGUCAUCAAGAUGAAGUUGGCUGGAAUCAUUUGGAAUCUGCUGGUCAAGUCCAGAUGUCUGUUUUAAGAGGGCCGCACAAAUCUUAGGAGGGAACAGACAGAAUCACGUGAGCCUCUACAAGCAGAGAGCUUCCUGCAGCUGGCGGUGGCACAGGCUGUCCGAGAGAUGUGAAGCAGAGGAUUCGAGGCAAGUGUACUCAGUGUGCGUUGUGAUUUUGAACCUGGAGGGGUCCACAUGAGAAGGAACGUGGGCAGUCUCUAGGAGACAAGUGAGCCGGCUCCCAGCCAGCGGAGAAGGAAGCAUCUCAGUUCUGCAAUGUGAGGCAGUAAAAAUAAAUUCUGCCAGCAACCUCAAUAAGCCUGACACCGAUUUCUCUGCAAGGCCUUCAGACAAGAGCCCAGCUUGGCCAACACCCUGAUUUCAUAUUUGUAAGAUUCUUGAGUACAGAAACCAGCCAACUCUUAAUCCAUACUGCUCCCAACACUGACCUACUGAACCGCAAGCUAAUAAAUAGUGUUGUAUCC
Molecule: long non-coding RNA, 855 nt
Organism: Marmota monax (woodchuck)
Lineage: Eukaryota; Metazoa; Chordata; Mammalia; Rodentia; Sciuridae
Exons: 3
Source: RefSeq, a predicted model, not a curated record